This 301-nucleotide ribosomal RNA is filed under the name uncultured bacterium. RNAcentral describes it as "partial 16S ribosomal RNA". It matches the Rfam family "Bacterial small subunit ribosomal RNA", at positions 509 to 807 of the family's 1533-position model. The record is from RNAcentral.
CAGUCGCCGCGGUAAUACGAAGGGUGCAAGCGUUAAUCGGAAUUACUGGGCGUAAAGCGUGCGUAGGCGGUUUGUUAAGUCUGCUGUGAAAUCCCCGGGCUCAACCUGGGAAUGGCAGUGGAUACUGGCAAGCUAGAGUGUGUCAGAGGAUGGUGGAAUUCCCGGUGUAGCGGUGAAAUGCGUAGAGAUCGGGAGGAACAUCAGUGGCGAAGGCAGCCAUCUGGGACAACACUGACGCUGAGGCACGAAAGCGUGGGGAGCAAACAGGAUUAGAUACCCCGGUAGUCCCUGUCUCUUAUAC